RNAcentral lists this ribosomal RNA (376 nucleotides) under uncultured archaeon. RNAcentral describes it as "bacterial SSU rRNA". It matches the Rfam family "Archaeal small subunit ribosomal RNA", at positions 347 to 727 of the family's 1478-position model. The record is from RNAcentral.
ACUUUACCAUGCGGGCAACCGUGAUAAGGAAACCCCGAGUGCCAGCACAGGCUGGCUGUCCGCCAGUUUAAAUAACUGGUGAAGAAAGGGCCGGGCAAGACCGGUGCCAGCCGCCGCGGUAAUACCGGCGGCUCGAGUGGUGGCCGCUAUUACUGGGCUUAAAGGGUCCGUAGCUUGAUAACUGGGUCCCUUGAGAAAUCCGCCAGCUUAACUGGCGGGCGUUCAGGGGAAACUUGUUUUCUAGGGACCGGGAGAGGUGAGGGGUACUGCCGGGGUAGGAGUGAAAUCCUGUAAUCCCGGUGGGACCACCUAUGGCGAAGGCAUCUCACCAGAACGGGUCCGACAGUGAGGGACGAAAGCUGGGGGAGCAAACCGG